CCUACAAAGUUGCGCACACGCUCGCCGCUAAAGGGCUUAUGUAUAAUCACUACCCGUGUUUUAAAUGGCCAGUCACAAGCGGAGAAGAAAAGGAAGAAGAAGAAGAAAAGAGGAGGGAGAAACCUGAUUUGAAUAACACCAGCACAAAACGAAUAAGACUCACGAAAAAGUUUCAGUCGCAUCUCUGACAAUGAUGAAAACGGAUCUGGUUGAAUCAAUUGUGCGCCGCUGGAACAUUUUCCAGUCGAUUAUUAUCAUUUCCACAUUCGUGACUGGAAUAAUUGCAACAUGUCCCGAUCCUCGUCUAAUUACGCCGUGUCAAUGCCAAACCGAGAACAAUGUCGUCUCCAUGGUUUGUGCUAACCUACAAAGUGUCCAACAAUUAAUGAAAAUCUUUGAACCGCCGUACCCUGUUAAUCAACUCUGGCAUUUGACGGUGAAACACAGCCACUUGGAUGACUUGGAAGCCAAUCUCCUUGGUGACAAGUCAUUUGUCGUCAUUUUGUUCCAAAAUGUGACUGGCGUGAGCAAGAUUAUGCCACACGCAUUUGCCGCUUCCGUCGAUAGACUUCGUGUCCUGACUUUCGACUCAUCGCCGUCGCUCAACGUCCUUUCAGUUCAAGGAAUUGCUGACUUGGAAAAUCUUGUCGACUUUGAAGUGACAGCCAGCGUCGAUCAAUUGAUAGAUUUUCCUUCUUUACCCAACUUGCAAUAUCUACACCUUUAUGGCAAUAGGUUUUCUGUUCCACCCAAUCUACCGCAACUGCCUAAACUUCACUCGCUCUGGUUGAACUCUGGCAAGUUGACAACUAUCAAACCUCUUGAUCUAGCUUUCUUGCCUAGUUUGAGAAAGAUUGUUCUCUUCGGCAAUCAAUUGCGACAGUUGGAUGCUGGAGAUUUGCAUUUUCUAUCUCCGCGAGUUGAUCUGGUAGACUUGAGUGAUAACGACUUGAGCAGUGGUAUUCAUCCAAAUGCUAUCCAAGGGAUUAGCUUUAGCACGAUUAUUGACUUGAAGAAAACUAAUCUCACCCAACUGGAGGAAGCUACUUUUCGGCCGAUUCUAAAUGUACUCGCCCGUGGUGCAGGACAUAUCCAACUUCACGGAACCAUGCUACAAUGCGACUGUAAUUCUUUUGGUUGGCUUCUUCGCGAACCCAAGUUAAUGGCCAAAAUUUCGCAAACUUCCAAAUGUUCUGAUGGCGUGAAUAUUCAUUUCAAAACCAGCCGCCUAAAUUGCCCUUUGAACGAAACAAUAUCCAGCCAGUAAAAACUAAAAUCACACACAACUUCCUCAAUUAGAAAUUUAACGUAUUAUUUUAAAAUAUAUAUAAUUUUUUAACAUUUAUUUUCGCAGUAAGUUUGAAUAACGCUAAUAAUAUAUUGUAAAGAAAAACAAAUGACAAACAAUUCUAUUUCCGCAUAACAAAAACAAUGUGGCCAGAAACGGCUUCACCUGGGUUCGACGUGUGGGGUCGUUUAAAAACAUAGGAGCAGCAAGCAAAGUUUUUUGUCCUUGUCCUUGGGUCUCUUGUUGCGUCUUUUCAAAGGAAAAAACUAAGAUAUUAAGCUUCAACGAAAGUUUUAAUGUCAGUCAUGUUGGAUUAGCUGGAAAAAUUGAAAUUCUGUCGUGUUGUUUGCUGAAGAAAAAGUAACUCUGAGCACCGCAAAUGUGGCUGGCUUUGCGGCUUACUGUUCACUGGUGAGGAAUAUUGAAGUUCAGUGGCGUGUGGAAGAAUGAAGUGGGUUUCCGUGGCCUUUCUUCUGUCCAUCGGCACAGUUGUCGCCAGACCGAAAUCUAGUAGCACUGAAGGAGGAAUAGUUUUAAAUGACAUACCCACAAGUUCAGGCUCUAGGUCGAGGAUUGAGCAGCCUUACCUACGGCACGCCUUAACUAGUGACUUGAGAAGGACUGAAGGACAAGAUUUCUGCCGUAAAACAGCAAAAUGUCAGCCAAUCAAAAACAACAUUUGCUUGACAACGAAAUUACCAUAUUCACAAACAUCUUUGGAACUGGUUACCGAUUCACACACUCAGGAUGAUGUUCAGGAUAAGCUCAUGUUUUGGCAGAACUUGAAAAGUGUUCCCAAAUGCUGGGCUGUGAUUCAACCCUUUUUGUGUGCUCUCUACAUGCCAAGAUGUGAAAAUGGAACAGUAGAACUUCCUUCUCAGGAAAUGUGCAAGGUUAUUCGUAAUCCUUGCAGAAUUGUGGAACUUGAACACAGGAAUGGCUGGCCAGAUUUUAUGAGAUGUGAAGACACUGAAAAAUUCCCUUCUGGCUGCAAAAAUGAGGUGAGAGAAUUGAAAUUCAACAUCACUCCAAAGUGCCAGUCUCCUCUGGUGGAAACGGACAAUAGUUUGGCUUAUGUUGAAGGAGUUGACGGAUGCGGACUGCCUUGCACUUCCCCGCUGUUUACAAAGGAGGAACAUGAACAAGUCCAACGAUUCACACAGACUCUGGUCGCCAUGUGCCUCACCACCAAUUUGUUUGCUGUGUUUACGUUCAUGAUUGACUGGCGCUCCGCUUCACGCUACCCGGCCGUUAUUAUUUUUUACAUGAACGUAUGCUUCGCUGCCGCUUGUAUCGGUUGGAUUGCUCAAUAUAUUCCCAGUGCUAGACAGGAUAUCAUAUGCCGGAAAGAUGGAACAGCUCGUGUAUCAGAACCAAGUGGCGGAGAAACGCUGUCUUGUGUUGUUAUAUUCAUCUUAAUCUAUUAUUUUCUCAUGGCUGCUUGUGUUUGGUUUGUCAUGCUAGCCUAUUCGUGGUUCGUCAGCUUCCAAGCCCUGGGUAAAAUCCGUGAGAAAGUCAGCUCCAAAGCUGCUUACUUUCACUUGGUCUCCUGGUCAAUCCCUCUGGUCCUUACAAUUACAUGCAUGGCGCUAGCACAGGUCGAAGCACAAAGUCCUCAUGGAAUUUGUUUCGUGGCCAACAGCAAAGUGGUGCGGUCUGGUUUCGUUCUGGCCCCUGUAAUGAUCUUGCUUUUCAUUGGCCAUGUGUUUCUCUACCGCGGUUUGCUUAUUUUGAUUCGUCUCAAACUGGGCAGCGCUGCCUCAAUCUCCGCUUCCGCCAAUUCCAAGUUACGCAACACCAUCGUUCGACUCGUCUCGUUCUCAGCCUCUAUUAUCUGUGCUAUCGGUUUGUCCAUUUUCUGCCAUGUUUACGAAUUCGAUAGACGAACUCAGUGGAAAACUUCCUUCCGCUCCUACAUGGUAUGCCUGGCCAAUCAAAACACCUCUCGCAUUCAGAAUCAAGGCCUUGCCGAUGACUGUGAAUUGGAAUCUCGACCGAGCAUGACCAUCACCCAAGUUCAUUUGAUUGCCGUCUUUGGAGCUGGUGUAGCCGUAUCUUCGUGGGUCUGGACAAAGGCUUCCGUCCUGGCUUGGCGGAGGUGGUACCGAAGGACCUUCAACAAGAGACCGUUGGAUGAACGCGUUCGCAUUCGCAAACAUAAAAUCAUUGCUCAGGCGUUUGCCAAGCGAAGAGAUCUGAAUCACAUGGGCCGGAUGUCUAUCAGUAUCCACAGUACGCACGACGAUCCAGUCGGUUUUGGCAACCUUGAUCUGAAUAGCGCCGCUUCCAAUGACGUCAGUUCUGCAUGGGCUGCCGCCAUUCCCAAAUUCGUCACACGCCGUGGCGCUAUCGUCGGCGCGGCUGGAGCCUUUGGACUGCGGCGCAAUUCGCUGGAUUCCGAAAUAAGCAUGAGCGCCGUCCGGCGUAUUUCGGUCGAAUCGAGAGCCAGUCAGUCUCGCCGUCACUCAUUCGAUUCACAAUACUCGGUACAUUCUCAACAAACGACGGAUUUGGAGCGGCUCACUAGACUACACUUCCGCCAUGGAGGUCGUAAACGUAAUAAUUUGCUCCGGGGCGGAAGAAAAAUGGCGCUGAGACGCAGGGGAAGUAUUACGUCUCAAGCUAGUUCGAAAGGGUCGCAAAUAUUGCCAGCCAUUACUAAACUUGCGCUGAGAAAUCGCCGAGGAAGUAUCACUUCACUGGCCAGUUCUAAAGGCUCGCAAAUCUUGCCGGCCAUUACCAAACGUAGAAACCAAUUACUUCCUCUUGGAUCAGCUGGAGCGAGCACUGUUGUCCAGGUUCAACCCAAUGACAAGCGGCAAUCAUCGCAAGUCGAUCUGGAACGAAUUGAGCGCUUCUCGCUCAACCUGCCGGGCGACGGAAGUAGCGACGAAAGUGACAUCGAUAAUGGAGAAUCAUGCAAAGUUACUACGGUCCCUGUCACCCAGUCGACUCAAACUGCCGUGACGUGGAACGUGGCCACACAGACGUCGCCCAGUUUAUCGACGCUUCGACCUAUUUCUACCAAGAGUGCUAAAACAACAACGCAGUCUGUGUCUAAAGGCACACAGGUGACUUCAUCUUCUUCUUCAUCGUCACCAUCAUCCUCGGCAUCCACUUCACCGGAAGCCGUCCGUAAAUCGCUGCCGAAACCGUCGACAUCGGCCCCAACGAACAUCUCGAGCUCAAAGUGCCACAGAGAACGAGGUCAAGCCGAUGGGUCACCCAAUGGAAGCUCAUCAGACGUAUCGGAUCACAUAUCAGCCAGCGGGCCUGGCCUAAGUUCGCCUUCGCAAUCAUUGCUCGAUUAUUUGCUGCCCAUCAAAUCGGAGAAGAAAUCUGAUGAUCGACAACUCAACGGUUCCAAGAGCAGUGGCAGGUCCAAUAGGAACAGAAGCGCCCGCUCUCGCGGGGUCGAAGCAAUUGAGUUGGACCGUUCGUCUAUCGCCCGCCUUCUUGAAAAACUACGAGAGGAGGACCACAAAGCGGCGGUUGAAGCUGCCAAUGCCGUUAUCGAUUCAGACGAACGUCCUAAACGCUCCUACGACAGGCGUCAUCGCGUUGAGCGUAAUCGUCGCUCACAAUCUGAACGCCACGACGGCAAUGAAAUUGAAUUAGAUUGCUUGCUGAGCUCCAAGAAUUCGAAUCGCUCUGAUCGAUCCAGAAAAUCCGGCAGUCGACGCUCCCGUUCCAAGCAAGAAACAAUUGUCAAUGACGAUGUAUCAUAAUGAUCAAAUCUUUUCUUAACUCCCUUUUCGGUCUUGACGAUUCAACUUUAUUUCCUUUUUCCUCUCCCGUAUUCCGACAUUUUAUUUUAUUCUUUCCCCAUAUACCUGAACGUGACAAUCGUUGUUACCAACGACCUCCGUUUAUUUUUAAAAGUUAUGUGACUCAACUUUCUAUGUAACUUUUUUUUAUCUAAAUCCAACAGAGGACGAAUCUCAUAUGCAGCUAAAAAUCAAUCAAUCAGAUGGUUUUAACUUUAUCGAACCGGAUCUCUUCUUGGCAAAUAGUGUCAAUAAAAAAAAAUGAACACAAUUCGAGCUGCCGAUUUUUUCACGGCAUAAUCAAAUGUGCGCGUUCAGCUGAGCUUUUUUAAAUCAUUCGAUUUAUACCACGGCUGAGUUGCUGCUAGCUGGAAGCGGAAAUGGUGCAUCCGCUCCUUUUGGCUACGACAAUUUCAUUUAGGUAUAUACUUUUUUUUUCCACGUGUCAAGUUAACGUGCUCUACUACAAGUACGUUGCCUUUGCUUUUGAUGAAGUAGCAGCUGCGCACUAGUUUUCUGAUGAACAUUUUGGACUCAUAUAAAGGAAGUUUUUUAAAUGA
Molecule: RNA transcript, 5615 nt
Organism: Daphnia pulex (common water flea)
Lineage: Eukaryota; Metazoa; Arthropoda; Branchiopoda; Diplostraca; Daphniidae
Gene: smo
Gene name: smoothened homolog
Exons: 16
Source: RefSeq, a predicted model, not a curated record